Molecule: transfer RNA, 77 nt
Filed under: Vibrio mimicus CAIM 602
Lineage: Bacteria; Pseudomonadati; Pseudomonadota; Gammaproteobacteria; Vibrionales; Vibrionaceae
Description: tRNA-Thr
Rfam family: tRNA
About the family: Transfer RNA (tRNA) molecules are approximately 80 nucleotides in length. Their secondary structure includes four short double-helical elements and three loops (D, anti-codon, and T loops). Further hydrogen bonds mediate the characteristic L-shaped molecular structure. tRNAs have two regions of fundamental functional importance: the anti-codon, which is responsible for specific mRNA codon recognition, and the 3' end, to which the tRNAs corresponding amino acid is attached (by aminoacyl-tRNA synthetases). tRNAs cope with the degeneracy of the genetic code in two manners: having more than one tRNA (with a specific anti-codon) for a particular amino acid; and 'wobble' base-pairing, i.e. permitting non-standard base-pairing at the 3rd anti-codon position.
Source: RNAcentral
GCUGAUAUAGCUCAGAUGGUAGAGCGCAUCCUUGGUAAGGAUGAGGUCGGUCGAGUUCGAUCUGCCUAUCAGCACCA